Molecule: ribosomal RNA, 253 nt
Filed under: uncultured bacterium
Lineage: Bacteria
Description: partial 16S ribosomal RNA
Rfam family: Bacterial small subunit ribosomal RNA
Source: RNAcentral
UACGAAGGGGGCUAGCGUUGCUCGGAAUCACUGGGCGUAAAGCGCACGUAGGCGGAUUGUUAAGUCAGGGGUGAAAUCCCGGGGCUCAACCCCGGAACUGCCUUUGAUACUGAUAGUCUCGAGUCCGGAAGAGGUGAGUGGAAUUCCUGGUGUAGCGGUGAAAUGCGCAGAUAUCAGGAGGAACACCAGCGGCGAAGGCGGCGCUCUGGGCCGGAACUGACGCUGAGGAGCGAAAGCGUGGGUAGCAAACAGG